ACCGCAUAACGUCGCAAGACCAAAGAGGGGGACCUUCGGGCCUCUUGCCAUCGGAUGUGCCCAGAUGGGAUUAGCUAGUAGGUGGGGUAACGGCUCACCUAGGCGACGAUCCCUAGCUGGUCUGAGAGGAUGACCAGCCACACUGGAACUGAGACACGGUCCAGACUCCUACGGGAGGCAGCAGUGGGGAAUAUUGCACAAUGGGCGCAAGCCUGAUGCAGCCAUGCCGCGUGUAUGAAGAAGGCCUUCGGGUUGUAAAGCACUUUCAGCGGGGAGGAAGGCGAUAAGGUUAAUAACCUUGUCGAUUGACGUUACCCGCAGAAGAAGCACCGGCUAACUCCGUGCCAGCAGCCGCGGUAAUACGGAGGGUGCAAGCGUUAAUCGGAAUUACUGGGCGUAAAGCGCACGCAGGCGGUCUGUCAAGUCGGAUGUGAAAUCCCCGGGCUCAACCUGGGAACUGCAUUCGAAACUGGCAGGCUAGAGUCUUGUAGAGGGGGGUAGAAUUCCAGGUGUAGCGGUGAAAUGC
Molecule: ribosomal RNA, 526 nt
Filed under: Enterobacter hormaechei
Lineage: Bacteria; Pseudomonadati; Pseudomonadota; Gammaproteobacteria; Enterobacterales; Enterobacteriaceae
Description: bacterial SSU rRNA
Rfam family: Bacterial small subunit ribosomal RNA
Source: RNAcentral